Molecule: long non-coding RNA, 519 nt
Filed under: Mus musculus (house mouse)
Lineage: Eukaryota; Metazoa; Chordata; Mammalia; Rodentia; Muridae
Description: predicted gene, 29909
Source: RNAcentral
GCAUGUGCUAUGGGCACUUGGAUAGGCAAGAUGGAUGGAUGGCCAGGGAGUGCAGAUGUUGCUGAAGUGGGCAUCCUAGAACCCUCCAGAAAUCCAGCCAUGCCUCCAGCUGCCUGGACACUUAGAGCUUCUGGUACCCAGCUGGGUCUUUCUCCGUUUAGGUUCCCUGGCAAUCUCAACCACUCUCCACAUGGCACGGUAUAGUGACCUUGGGCCAUCCCAUUUCCCUCUUCCAACUGCCACGCCAUUUGUCAACAUCCUCGCUCAGCCGUUGCUCCUGGAAUGAAAUGCAAGGCUCCAGAUGUGGACCAGCAACUGCCAAGCUUGGAGGAAGCUACCACCUCCCCUGUCCUGCACUUUGAUUAAUUUAGCCCGAGAUUGCACCCUCACACCCUGCCUUGGCAGCUCCCCACAUGGCUGGCUCACAGGGCAUUUUGUCUGCUAAUCCAUCUAACCCCAUUACUGUCUACCCCACAAGUCUCCAUCUUGUCCGAGAGGAGAACGCCAUAGUCUUUACAA